Molecule: ribosomal RNA, 335 nt
Filed under: uncultured bacterium
Lineage: Bacteria
Description: partial 16S ribosomal RNA
Rfam family: Bacterial small subunit ribosomal RNA
Source: RNAcentral
CCUACGGGAGGCAGCAGUCGAGAAUCAUUCACAAUGGGGGAAACCCUGAUGGUGCGACGCCGCGUGGGGGAAUGAAGGUCUUCGGAUUGUAAACCCCUGUCAUGUGGGAGCAAAUUAAAAAGAUAGUACCACAAGAGGAAGAGACGGCUAACUCUGUGCCAGCAGCCGCGGUAAUACAGAGGUCUCAAGCGUUGUUCGGAAUCACUGGGCGUAGAGCGUGCGUAGGCUGUUUCGUAAGUCGUGUGUGAAAGGCGCGGGCUCAACCCGCGGACGGCACAUGAUACUGCGAGACUAGAGUGAGGGAGGGGGAAGGGGAAUUCUGGGGGGAGGGGUAA